GGAUGUGAGGGCAAUCUGGCUGCGACAUGUGGCACCCCGUUGAUCGCCAAGGAUUCAGCUGAUCUGGCUGGCUGGGUGGGCGUCCCCUUCCUCCCUCACUGCUCCAGAUGUGUCCCUCCUGAAGCUGCACGGUUAGUCAGAGAAGACGACCUGCACUGAUAGAGGAGGACCAUUCUUCGGUCAAGGGUAUAGGAGUAGCUGUGCUUCUGUGCCAGAACCUCCAGACAAGCUCGCAAGGUCCAUUUGGAGGAGAACAUAGGGUAGUCAGGCUUCCCAGACUCAUCCAAAUGUGGCGCCGCAUGUGGCAGUCUGCCUUUCUUA
RNAcentral lists this small nuclear RNA (321 nucleotides) under Equus caballus (horse). RNAcentral's name for it is "7SK RNA". It matches the Rfam family "7SK RNA". From Rfam's summary of the family: 7SK was discovered as an abundant small nuclear RNA in the mid-70s but a possible function has only recently been suggested. Two independent studies have found that 7SK RNA binds the CDK9/cyclin T complex (known as elongation factor P-TEFb). P-TEFb activates transcription by phosphorylating the C-terminal domain of RNA polymerase II. The record is from Rfam by way of RNAcentral. Lineage: Eukaryota; Metazoa; Chordata; Mammalia; Perissodactyla; Equidae.